This 253-nucleotide ribosomal RNA is filed under the name uncultured bacterium. Its description in RNAcentral is "partial 16S ribosomal RNA". It matches the Rfam family "Bacterial small subunit ribosomal RNA", at positions 524 to 776 of the family's 1533-position model. The record is from RNAcentral.
UACGUAGGGUGCAAGCGUUGUCCGGAAUUAUUGGGCGUAAAGAGCUCGUAGGCGGUCUGUCGCGUCGGCUGUGAAAACUCACAGCUCAACUGUGGGCGUGCGGGCGAUACGGGCAGACUGGAGUACUGCAGGGGAGACUGGAAUUCCUGGUGUAGCGGUGGAAUGCGCAGAUAUCAGGAGGAACACCGGUGGCGAAGGCGGGUCUCUGGGCAGUAACUGACGCUGAGGAGCGAAAGCGUGGGGAGCGAACAGG